Lactuca sativa (garden lettuce) is the source of this 729-nucleotide long non-coding RNA. RefSeq lists it as uncharacterized. The record is from RefSeq and is a predicted model, not a curated record. NCBI's taxonomy places the organism in Eukaryota, Viridiplantae, Streptophyta, Magnoliopsida, Asterales, Asteraceae.
CAAAAACUAAAACACGCCUCUUGAAGCCCCUGUUUCUCUCUAAACCCUAGAUCUCCUUCGCCAAUUUCCCCAACAACGAACUACCACCAUGAACCGGUGUUCCCUUCUCUUUCUUCGCCACCACCACCCAUUCACCCUCACACCACCGACUACCAGAUCCAUUAACACAUCCUCUGUCAGCCACAAUCUUCAAUCGUUGCUACCAUCUACGCCACCACUACAACCUAGAAGAGGGUCAACGGCUAUCCAAUCCCCCAUCAAGCCUCACAAUCUCACUCAAAUGUUAUUCCCUCUCUAAUGGACGAUCGAUGCACUACAAGUGCACCUCUACCUCCAACAAUGUCUGUAACCCCCUGUUGCCCCGCCUCCCUAUGUAUGAUACUGUUACCCUCACCCUUUGUUCCGAACUACUCCAUCUCCUCUCUCUUAUAUACCAUUGGUAACCUAAAAACACAAAAGAACACCUGUCCCGGUAGCCUAAUUAGGUAAUUACACCAUACAUGUGUUUGUCGUUGUUAAAAGGGAAUGUGUGGAUUCUUUCUUUUCACAGGCUUCUUUGGCAUGGAUAUCAAAGAAUGUACAAUCAACUUACAUAUUAGAUGUAUGUGGGAUUCUUUAUGAUCAAUAGGGUGCAUUUUUCAUCUACAUGUAAUCAAUUGUUGCACAGAUCUAUGGAUCAAUGUAAUACAGUAGGUGGAUUUAUAAAAGAGGAUAUUGGUUUAAUGUUUU